UCGGCAGAGAUGCCUUAGUGCCUUCGGGAACCGUGAGACAGGUGCUGCAUGGCUGUCGUCAGCUCGUGUUGUGAAAUGUUGGGUUAAGUCCCGCAACGAGCGCAACCCUUAUCCUUUGUUGCCAGCGCGUAAUGGCGGGAACUCAAAGGAGACUGCCGGUGAUAAACCGGAGGAAGGUGGGGAUGACGUCAAGUCAUCAUGGCCCUUACGGCCAGGGCUACACACGUGCUACAAUGGCGCAUACAAAGAGAAGCGAACUCGC
RNAcentral lists this ribosomal RNA (262 nucleotides) under Winslowiella arboricola. Its description in RNAcentral is "partial 16S ribosomal RNA". It matches the Rfam family "Bacterial small subunit ribosomal RNA", at positions 997 to 1258 of the family's 1533-position model. The record is from RNAcentral. Lineage: Bacteria; Pseudomonadati; Pseudomonadota; Gammaproteobacteria; Enterobacterales; Erwiniaceae.